UACGAAGGGGCUAGCGUUGCUCGGAAUUACUGGGCGUAAAGCGCACGUAGGCGGCUCGUUAAGUCGGAGGUGAAUCCUGGAGCUCAACUCCAGAACUGCCUUCGAUACUGAUGAGCUCGAGUUCGGGAGAGGUGAGUGGAACUGCGAGUGUAGAGGUGAAAUUCGUAGAUAUUCGCAAGAACACCAGUGGCGAAGGCGGCUCGACUGGCCCGAGUACUGACGCUGAGGUGCGAAAGCGUGGGGAGCAACAGG
RNAcentral lists this ribosomal RNA (252 nucleotides) under uncultured bacterium. RNAcentral describes it as "partial 16S ribosomal RNA". It matches the Rfam family "Bacterial small subunit ribosomal RNA", at positions 524 to 775 of the family's 1533-position model. The record is from RNAcentral.